ACUUUACCACCCCAAUAGCUGCCAGGAAGUUUUAUGAUGCAUGUGACGAUAAGCAAUGGGAGUGUUUCAUGUCAAACAAGAUUCGUCAAAUAUAUUGUGCUAAACUCCAGGGCAUUAACGAGCUAGUGAAGCACUUCGAAAAAAUGGGGUUUCCAUGUGAAGAUUUUCAACCCUUGUGCUUCAACCCAGCACGUGAUGGUUCAAAGCAACCUGUUGAAGAAACUGUUGUAGGAAGAUGCAUAGGCUCUUGGUGUACUAACUCCAAAUCUUAAGUAGCUCAUGACAUGACAUGGUGAUGUUGGGGACAAACAGAACUACACAGUGUUGGUUUUUUAUUUUUUUUCAUUUAAACUCUUUUGUUCGUUCAGUUUCUGGUUAUGUUUUUGGUUUGACGAUGGGAACGAAGGGGUGGACUUUGUCACCUGGUUCUUGAUAUGGUAUAAUGAAAAAAGAAAGAACAGGUGGUGGGGUCCACCCUGGUAUGGGGUCUCACUGGUCGGCUCUUUGUUGUUGUGUCUCUCUGCAAUGUCAUUAGAUUAGAUUUUAUGGGAAAUUGCAGCUUUCGGUACUUCUCA
This is a long non-coding RNA of Gossypium arboreum, 575 nucleotides long. RefSeq lists it as uncharacterized. Lineage: Eukaryota; Viridiplantae; Streptophyta; Magnoliopsida; Malvales; Malvaceae. The record is from RefSeq and is a predicted model, not a curated record. The transcript has 2 exons.